CAGCCGCCACGGUAAAACGUAGGGUCCGAGCGUUGUCCGGAAUUAUUGGGCGUAAAGGGCUCGUAGGCGGUUUGUUGCGUCGGGAGUGAAAACACCAAGCUUAACUUGGUGCUUGCUUUCGAUACGGGCAGACUUGAGGCAUGCAGGGGAGAACGGAAUUCCUGGUGUAGCGGUGAAAUGCGUAGAUAUCGGAAGGAACACCUGUGGCGAAAGCGGCUCACUGGACAAUUACUGACGCUGAUGCACGAAAGCUAGGGGAGCAAACAGGAUUAGAUACCCCCGUAGUCCCUGUCUCUUAUAC
This 301-nucleotide ribosomal RNA is filed under the name uncultured bacterium. RNAcentral's name for it is "partial 16S ribosomal RNA". It matches the Rfam family "Bacterial small subunit ribosomal RNA", at positions 509 to 807 of the family's 1533-position model. The record is from RNAcentral.